This 229-nucleotide ribosomal RNA is filed under the name uncultured bacterium. RNAcentral's name for it is "partial 16S rRNA". It matches the Rfam family "Bacterial small subunit ribosomal RNA", at positions 505 to 733 of the family's 1533-position model. The record is from RNAcentral.
GUGUCAGCCGCCGCGGUAAUACGUAGGUGGCGAGCGUUGUCCGGAAUUACUGGGUGUAAAGGGCGUGUAGGCGGGGAUGUAAGUCAGAUGUGAAAUCCCAUGGCUCAACUGUGGGGCUGCAUCUGAAACUAUGUCUCUUGAGUGCCGGAGAGGGAAGCGGAAUUCCUAGUGUAGCGGUGAAAUGCGUAGAUAUUAGGAGGAACACCAGUGGCGAAGGCGGCUUUCUGGA